RNAcentral lists this ribosomal RNA (468 nucleotides) under uncultured bacterium. Its description in RNAcentral is "bacterial SSU rRNA". It matches the Rfam family "Bacterial small subunit ribosomal RNA", at positions 28 to 487 of the family's 1533-position model. The record is from RNAcentral.
GAUGAACGCUAGCGAUAGGCCUAACACAUGCAAGUCGAGGGGCAUCACAUGAAGUAGCAAUACGGAUGGUGGCGACCGGCGCACGGGUGAGUAACACGUAUGCAACCUGCCUUCAACAAGGGGAUAACCCGUUGAAAGACGGACUAAUACCCUAUAACACAGGGGUCCCGCAUGGGAAUAUUUGUUAAAGGACAACCGGUUGAAGAUGGGCAUGCGUUCCAUUAGCUAGUUGGCGGGUAACGCCCACCAAGGCAACGAUGGAUAGGGGAACUGAGAGGUUUAUCCCCCACACUGGUACUGAGACACGGACCAGACUCCUACGGGAGGCAGCAGUGAGGAAUAUUGGUCAAUGGACGCAAGUCUGAACCAGCCACGUCGCGUGAAGGAAGACGGCCCUACGGGUUGUAAACUUCUUUUAUACGGGAAUAAAGUGCCCCACGCGUGGGGUUUUGCAUGUACCGUAUGAAU